RNAcentral lists this unclassified non-coding RNA (257 nucleotides) under uncultured bacterium. RNAcentral's name for it is "contains 16S-23S intergenic spacer region". The record is from RNAcentral.
UCCGAUUUGUCACCGGCAGUCCCCGAAGGGAAAGCCCCAUCUCUGGGGCGGUCCGCCGUUGUCUAGCCCAGGUAAGGUUCUUCGCGUUGCGUCGAAUUGAACCACAUGCUCCACCGCUUGUGCGGGCCCCCGUCAAUUCCUUUGAGUUUCAGUCUUGCGACCGUACUCCCCAGGCGGCGAACUUAACGCGUUAGCUUCGACACUGAGCGCCAAGUUGCACCCAACGUCCAGUUCGCAUCGUUUAGGGCGUGGACUAC